Molecule: ribosomal RNA, 851 nt
Filed under: uncultured Neocallimastigales
Lineage: Eukaryota; Fungi; Neocallimastigomycota; Neocallimastigomycetes; Neocallimastigales
Description: partial large subunit ribosomal RNA
Rfam family: Eukaryotic large subunit ribosomal RNA
Source: RNAcentral
AGAGAGAGACAUGCGCGCAUAUCAAUAAGCGGAGGAAAAGUCAGCUACCUACGCUUAGGAUGUUGAUCAGUCAUGCAUAGCAUAUCAAUAAGCGGAGGAAAAGAAACUAACAAGGAUUCCCUUAGUAACGGCGAGUGAAGCGGGAAGAGCUCAAAUUUGAAAUCUUCAAGGUUUUACCUUUACGAAUUGUAGUUUAAAGAAGUGUUUUCUGAUGAGGUUUUGGUAAAAGUUCUUUGGAAUAGGACAUCAUAGAGGGUGAGAAUCCCGUAUUUGACCAUUACUUUCAACUUUGUGAUACACUUUCAAAGAGUCGGAUUGUUUGGGAAUGCAGUCCAAAAUGGGUGGUAAAUUUCAUCUAAAGCUAAAUAUUGGCGAGAGACCGAUAGCGAACAAGUACCGUGAGGGAAAGAUGAAAAGAACUUUGAAAAGAGAGUUAAACAGUACGUGAAAUUGUCAAAAGGGAAGCGUUUGACACCAGUGUUGUUUUCUCGAAAAUCAAUUAAAGAAAGUUGAUUUUGCUAAGUUGUAUUAGACCUUAUCAGCUUAACUGCCUCUAGUUUCCUGAGCUUUUCUUUAAUGCACUUUUCAGUUAACAAGUCAACAUCAAUUUCUUUUGUUGUAAAAAGGUCAUUGAGGAAGGUGGCUUGAGCUUUCGAUAAAGUGUUUAUAGCCUCUUGAUCUCUGCAGUCGGAGAGACUGAGGUCUGCAGCGUAGAUCCUUCGGGGUUAAUAGCAUUUGUGCUAAGUUAUAGACUUUUCAUAGACAACUUGUUGACUAUGAUUUUAGUCAUGUAGCUUACUCGCUUAUGCUAUUUUACCUACGCUUAGGAUGUUGAGGAUGUAGCACAUCAU